This 395-nucleotide ribosomal RNA is filed under the name uncultured bacterium. Its description in RNAcentral is "bacterial SSU rRNA". It matches the Rfam family "Bacterial small subunit ribosomal RNA", at positions 29 to 449 of the family's 1533-position model. The record is from RNAcentral.
AGCGAACGCUGGCGGCAUGCUUAACACAUGCAAGUCGCACGGGCAGGGCAACCUGUCAGUGGCGGACGGGUGAGUAACGCGUAGGUAUCUAUCCUUGGGGUGGGGGACAACGGUUGGAACGACUGCUAAUACCGCAUGAUAACUGAGGUUUAAAGGCGCAAGUCGCCUGAGGAGGAGCCUGCGUACGAUUAGCUAGUUGGUGGGGUAAAGGCCUACCAAGGCUGUGAUCGAGCUGGUCUGAGAGGAUGAUCAGCCACAUUGGGACUGAGACACGGCCCAAACUCCUACGGGAGGCAGCAGUGGGGAAUAUUGGACAAUGGGCGCAAGCCUGAUCCAGCAAUGCCGCGUGUGUGAAGAAGGUCUUCGGAUUGUAAAGCACUUUCGUACGGGGACGA